AAAACAUCGCCUCUUGCAAAGUAAUGAAUAAGAGGUCCCGCCUGCCCUGUGACUCUAAGUUUAACGGCCGCGGUAUUUUGACCGUGCGAAGGUAGCGCAAUCACUUGUCUUUUAAAUGGAGACCUGUAUGAAUGGCAUAACGAGGGCUUAGCUGUCUCCUUUCUCUAGUCAAUGAAAUUGAUCUCCCCGUGCAGAAGCGGGGAUAGAACCAUAAGACGAGAAGACCCUAUGGAGCUUUAGACGCCAAGACAGACCAUGUUAAACACCUCCCCAUAAGGAGCCCAAACCAAAUGGUCCCUGCCCUAGUGUCUUUGGUUGGGGCGACCGCGGGGAAACAUAAAACCCCCAUGUGGAAUGGGAGCACCCUCUCCUACAACUAAGAGCUACAGCUCUAAUGAACAGAAUUUCUGACCAACAAGAUCCGGCAAUGCCGAUCAACGGACCGAGUUACCCUAGGGAUAACAGCGCAAUCCCCUUUUAGAGCCCAUAUCGACAAGGGGGUUUACGACCUCGAUGUUGGAUCAGGACAUCCUAAUGGUGCAGCCGCUAUUAAGGGUUCGUUUGUUCAACGAUUAAAGUCCUACGUG
RNAcentral lists this ribosomal RNA (587 nucleotides) under Ammodytes personatus (Pacific sandeel). Its description in RNAcentral is "partial 16S ribosomal RNA". It matches the Rfam family "Bacterial large subunit ribosomal RNA", at positions 1810 to 2602 of the family's 2925-position model. The record is from RNAcentral. Lineage: Eukaryota; Metazoa; Chordata; Actinopteri; Uranoscopiformes; Ammodytidae.